UAUAGUCCUGCCCUCCUUGAGAAUGAGAGGGUCUAUGAAUCUGCGUCUAGGAGAGACCCUGCCUCUUGUCCAAAGUUAACAGAGACAACAGCCCCCUGUGAGCGGAAUACACAGCUCAUAUAAAAGCAGAGUCUGGGAGGAGUAUGAACUGGGAGGUGAACUGGUCCAACUGGUUGGACAUCAUUUCCUUGAUAUGAGUCAGACGGUUUGGUGUGGCUCACUUCAUCACAGCACGAAGACGACUAAGGUACUGUAGUGAUAGUUUGUUUCCUGUAAAACCACUUGGUUAAAAAAGUUAGUCAAUGUAUGGAUGCAUUGCUAUUUGUCAAAAUUACUAUUGAAUAAUUCAGAAGAUUCCUGCUCUGUAUAAUGCUACGUGUUAGACUGUGGGCUUUGGGGAUCAAACCCAGAACCUUUCAGCCUUGAGUCAAGCGUCAGGUUGAGGUUAAUAAUGACUGUUUCGUCUGAUUCAGUAUUGGUUCUUAAUCACAGGUCCUGUGGUGACUUUAAAGGUACUGAGGAUAGAAUGGACAGUGGUUAUAUUUGUAGUGGGGUAUUAUGAUUACAUUAUUUCAACAGGAAGACGGCCAUCUUGGUUAGUGAAGGUGUCUAAACGUCAUCUUGUACUGGGUCUUGUUCUCUGUGGGCCUGCAUCAUUCUGAAGUAGUGAAGGCCUACUCUAUAUCUGAGAGCAUCACUCGUAGGAGAGGGACAUCACCUUCGAGGUGAAUUAACACUGCCGCGACCGCCUCAACACAGAAGUCACUGGUGACGACUGGUUUGUGUUCUUCAGCUCAGCCCAUCCCACUGACAUCCUCUCACCAGCAGGUGGUGCUGCAGUGCACCUUUUCAAGGGAUUCAAAACGGACCUAGCAAUAUGAUCCACUUUACUACCGCUGGAGUUGAUUGAAUCACAGACUGCAGAAGAGUAGACCGUUUGUGACUUUUUUUCUUUUAUGUGUGUGUGUUUGUGUGAACCCUGAACCUUCCAGCCUGGAGUCAAGUGUCAGGAUGACGUUAAUAAUGACUUUUUCUUCUUGUGUCUCCUUGUGUCCUUGGGUGACUUUAAAGGUAGGUACUUAGGACAGAAUGAACUGUUGUUAUAUUUCUAGUGCAGUAUUAUGAUAACAUUAUUUAGACAGGAAGACGGCCAUCUUGCUUUGCGAAGGUGUUUAAACGUCUCUUACCGGGUCUUGUUCUCUGUGGGCCUGCCUCACCGAUCUGGUUGUGAUGUCAUAUCACACGAGGAAGUCCAUACAUGGUCCUGCCUCCAGAGCGGUUUAACCAGCACAGAGAGCAGUUGGUAUGAUAUCCGCACGGUGAACUGGAUCUAAUCAGACACAUUUUGUAGCCUUUUGAGACCUUCUGUUUUGAAUGAUGUUACGUUAUUAAAUGUAUAUUAGAAACCUCUGGGAAUGAGAGGGUCUACGAAUCUGCGUCUAGGAGAGACGCUGCCUCUUGUCCAAAGUUAACAGAGACAACAGCCCCCUGUGAGCGGAAUACACAGCUCAUAUAAAAGCAGAGUCUGGGAGGAGUAUGAACUGGGAGGGGAAGAGGUCCAACUGGUCAUUUAAAAAAACAGAGAGUGAACCAAUGCCGAGUGGCAGUAGAAACAAUAUGAGUUGUGUUUGUGUCCAGGUCUCCAGUCUACUAUGGAUGAGGAGAGAGGGGAGGGGGGUCCUACCUCUAAGACCACUCUGUCUGGGGAACAUGGCCGCCGGAGCAAAGCCAAAAGCCCAGAGAAACAGGAUAGAGCAGAUAGCGUCUCCAUGAAGAGUGACCACUCUAUGGAUGAUCCUGUUGGGUUUAAAGAUGGAAAUCAGUCCAUUGAAAAGAGAAGAGUCCAGCAGGAGAGAGCAGACUCCCCUGGACCCCAGCUGUGUCUCCAUGAAGAGUGACCGCUCUAUGGAACAACC
Gadus chalcogrammus (walleye pollock) is the source of this 1916-nucleotide long non-coding RNA. RefSeq lists it as uncharacterized. The record is from RefSeq and is a predicted model, not a curated record. The transcript has 3 exons. Lineage: Eukaryota; Metazoa; Chordata; Actinopteri; Gadiformes; Gadidae.